Molecule: ribosomal RNA, 425 nt
Filed under: Verrucomicrobiota bacterium
Lineage: Bacteria; Pseudomonadati; Verrucomicrobiota
Description: Verrucomicrobia bacterium partial 16S ribosomal RNA
Rfam family: Bacterial small subunit ribosomal RNA
Source: RNAcentral
UGAGGAAUAUUGGUCAAUGGGCGAGAGCCUGAACCAGCCACGUCGCGUGAAGGAAGACUGACCUUACGGUUUGUAAACUUCUUUUGUAGAGGGGUAAUGGCAGAUACGUGUAUUUGCGUGAAAGUACUCUACGAAUAAGCAUCGGCUAACUCCGUGCCAGCAGCCGCGGUAAUACGGGGGAUGCGAGCGUUAUCCGGAAUUAUUGGGUUUAAAGGGUGCGCAGGUGGCUAAUCAGGUCAGUGGUGAAAAGCUAUGGCUCAACCAUGGUCUUGCCAUUGAAACCGUAAAGCUAGAGAGGAGACGAGGUAGGCGGAAUGUGUGGUGUAGCGGUGAAAUGCAUAGAUAUCACACAGAACUCCGAUUGCGAAGGCAGCUUACCAGGCUUUAUCUGACACUUAGGCACGACAGCGUGGGGAUCAAACAGG